CUUCACCGAACCCAACCACACCGGGCGGCCGACCUGACCGUAGGUGGCCAGCAGGGCCCGCGCCUC
Molecule: antisense RNA, 66 nt
Filed under: Actinophytocola xinjiangensis
Lineage: Bacteria; Bacillati; Actinomycetota; Actinomycetes; Pseudonocardiales; Pseudonocardiaceae
Description: Actinophytocola sp. QAIII60 ASpks TB sRNA
Rfam family: ASpks TB sRNA
Source: Rfam by way of RNAcentral